GACGAACGCUGGCGGCGUGCCUAAUACAUGCAAGUUGAGCGCUGAAGGUUGGUACUUGUACCGACUGGAUGAGCAGCGAACGGGUGAGUAACGCGUGGGGAAUCUGCCUUUGAGCGGGGGACAACAUUUGGAAACGAAUGCUGAUACCGCAUAAAAACUUUAAACACAAGUUUUAAGUUUGAAAGAUGCAAUUGCAUCACUCAAAGAUGAUCCCGCGUUGUAUUAGCUAGUUGGUGAGGUAAAGGCUCACCAAGGCGAUGAUACAUAGCCGACCUGAGAGGGUGAUCGGCCACAUUGGGACUGAGACACGGCCCAAACUCCUACGGGAGGCAGCAGUAGGGAAUCUUCGGCAAUGGACGAAAGUCUGACCGAGCAACGCCGCGUGAGUGAAGAAGGUUUUCGGAUCGUAAAACUCUGUUGGUAGAGAAGAACGUUGGUGAGAGUGGAAAGCUCAUCAAGUGACGGUAACUACCCAGAAAGGGACGGCUAACUACGUG
RNAcentral lists this ribosomal RNA (497 nucleotides) under uncultured bacterium. RNAcentral's name for it is "partial 16S ribosomal RNA". It matches the Rfam family "Bacterial small subunit ribosomal RNA", at positions 28 to 507 of the family's 1533-position model. The record is from RNAcentral.